Ailuropoda melanoleuca (giant panda) is the source of this 378-nucleotide long non-coding RNA. RefSeq lists it as uncharacterized. The record is from RefSeq and is a predicted model, not a curated record. The transcript has 3 exons. NCBI's taxonomy places the organism in Eukaryota, Metazoa, Chordata, Mammalia, Carnivora, Ursidae.
UCUCCCGGCUCUGUGAGGCGGGCCGCCGGAACGAGGUGGAGGGAGAUGGACGCCAGGAGGAAGACAACACAAACACAGGAGAGCAAAACCCGAGAAAGAACACGCAAGACAUGGCGGGCUGUGAGUCUGCAAUCCAGUGAGAGAGCAACCAAGAAUCCCUCCGUGUGUACCAGCUCACAGCUUAGAAAACACCAGUGUAUGCGUGGUUUCCUAAAAAGCCAUGAGACUUGCUCUUCAGGUCAUCUGGACAGCGUGCGGUCCAGCGUGAUGUCACCGGCUCGCACCGCCCUUCUGGGUUUUCUGAUUGACGACACAUCAGAAGUUCAUUCUAGAAGCAGCCUUUUCUUCCUCUUGCUUCACCGCUUCCCGAAAACAGCA